CCGAGUUUACAACUCCCAAACCCCUGUGAACAUACCUUUAUGUUGCCUCGGCGGAUCAGCCCCGCGCCCCGUAAAACGGGGACGGCCCGCCGCAGGAAACCCUAAAACUCUGUUUUUUAGUGGAAACUUCUGAGUAUAAAAAAACAAAUAAAUCA
This 155-nucleotide unclassified non-coding RNA is filed under the name soil metagenome. RNAcentral describes it as "partial internal transcribed spacer 1". The record is from RNAcentral.